CUCCUUACAUUCUCCCACUCUGUGUUCCAUGCUCAUAUAGUCUCUAACAAUUCUUCCGCGUAGCCCUCAAUGAUUCCCCCACCCCAUGUUCCACACUUGUGUAGCUUCUAACAAUUCUUACACAUACCUCUUAAUGUUCUUCCACUCCACGCUCCACUGUGGAGUGGCUUCUGAUAUUCUUCCGCCCCGAACUUUCCCCUAUAAGAACCCCC
RNAcentral lists this small RNA (212 nucleotides) under Histoplasma ohiense. Its description in RNAcentral is "hypothetical lncRNA". The record is from RNAcentral. Lineage: Eukaryota; Fungi; Ascomycota; Eurotiomycetes; Onygenales; Ajellomycetaceae.